UACAGAGGGGGCAAGCGUUGUUCGGAAUUACUGGGCGUAAAGGGCGCGUAGGUGGCCUUCUAAGUUGAACGUGAAAUCCCUGGGCUCAACCCAGGAACUGCGUCCAAGACUGGGAGGCUUGAAUCCGGGAGAGGGAUGCGGAAUUCCAGGUGUAGCGGUGAAAUGCGUAGAUAUCUGGAGGAACACCGGUGGCGAAGGCGACUCACUGGACAUGUAUUGACGCUGAGGUGCGAAAGCGUGGGGAGCAAACAGG
RNAcentral lists this ribosomal RNA (253 nucleotides) under uncultured bacterium. Its description in RNAcentral is "partial 16S ribosomal RNA". It matches the Rfam family "Bacterial small subunit ribosomal RNA", at positions 524 to 776 of the family's 1533-position model. The record is from RNAcentral.